UGGGGAAUAUUGCACAAUGGAGGGAACUCUGAUGCAGCGACGCCGCGUGAGUGAUUAAGGAAUUCGUUUCGUAAAACUCUGUUCUAUGGGAAGAAAAGGACUGUACCAUAGGAGAAAGCUCCGGCUAAAUACGUGCCAGCAGCCGCGGUAAUACGUAUGGAGCGAGCGUUGUCCGGAAUUAUUGGGCGUAAAGGGUGCGCAGGCGGCUUUACAAGUUGGAUGUGAAAUAUUGUGGCUCAACCACAAACGUGCAUCCAAAACUGCAAAGCUUGAGUUAAGGAGAGGUAAGUGGAAUUCCUGGUGUAGCGGUGGAAUGCGUAGAUAUCAGGAGGAAUACCGGUGGCGAAGGCGACUUACUGGACUUAAACUGACGCUCAGGCACGAAAGCGUGGGGAGCAAACAGG
RNAcentral lists this ribosomal RNA (404 nucleotides) under Fusobacteriota bacterium. RNAcentral's name for it is "Fusobacteria bacterium partial 16S ribosomal RNA". It matches the Rfam family "Bacterial small subunit ribosomal RNA", at positions 355 to 776 of the family's 1533-position model. Lineage: Bacteria; Fusobacteriati; Fusobacteriota. The record is from RNAcentral.